UAAAAACCCCGACUUCGGAAGGGGUGUAUUUAUUAGAUACAAAACCAAUGCCCUUCGGGGCUCUUUGGUGAUUCAUGAUAACUAUACGAAUCGCACGGCCUUGCGCCGGCGAUGGUUCAUUCAAAUUUCUUCCCUAUCAACUUUCGAUGUUUGGGUAUUGGCCAAACAUGGUUGCAACGGGUAACGGAGGGUUAGGGCUCGACCCCGGAGAAGGAGCCUGAGAAACGGCUACUACAUCCAAGGAAGGCAGCAGGCGCGCAAAUUACCCAAUCCCGACUCGGGGAGGUAGUGACAAUAAAUGCUGAUACAGGGCCCUUUCGGGCCUUGUAAUUGGAAUGAGUACAAUUUAAAUCCCUUAACGAGGAACAAUUGGAGGGCAAGUCUGGUGCCAGCAGCCGCGGUAAUUCCAGCUCCAAUAGCGUAUAUUAAAGUUGUUGUGGUUAAAAAGCUCGUAGUUGAACCUUGGGCCUGGCUGGCCGGUCCGCCUCACCGCGUGCACUGGUCCGGCCGGGCCUUUCCCUCUGUGGAACCCCAUACCCUUCACUGGGCGUGGCGGGGAAACAGGACAUUUACUUU
RNAcentral lists this ribosomal RNA (576 nucleotides) under uncultured eukaryote. RNAcentral's name for it is "SSU rRNA". It matches the Rfam family "Eukaryotic small subunit ribosomal RNA", at positions 174 to 758 of the family's 1831-position model. The record is from RNAcentral.